This 380-nucleotide long non-coding RNA is filed under the name Homo sapiens (human). RNAcentral describes it as "HSALNT0324752". The record is from RNAcentral. Lineage: Eukaryota; Metazoa; Chordata; Mammalia; Primates; Hominidae.
CUGGGAAGUGAUUAGGUCAUGAUGGUGAGGAGGUGGAGGAUCUGGAAGUGAUCAGGUCCUGAUGGUGAGGAGGUGGAGGAUCUGGAAGUGAUUAGGUGGUGAUGGUGAGGAGGUGGAGGAUCUGGAAGUGAUUAGGUCGUGAUGGUGAGGAGGUGGAGGAUCUGGGAAGUGAUUAGGUCGUGAUGGUGAGGAGGUGGAGGAUCUGGAAGUGAUUAGGUCGUGAUGGCGAGGAGGUGGAGGAUCUGGGAAGUGAUUAGGUCGUGACGGUGAGGAGGUGGAGGAUCUGGAAGUGAUUAGGUCGUGAUGGUGAGGAGGUGGAGGCUCUGGGAAGUGAUUAGGUCGUGAUGGUGAGGAGGUGGAGGAUCUGGAAGUGAUUAGGU